GGGCUGCUUGCUGGGCUUUGAACACCUCAUCCCCACCAGGGACCCCUGAAGCUCCUCGAACCUGAGAUAAGGUCACAGAUUAACCCUAGGAGAUAAUUAAAUCUGAAUUGUCGACUGUACACCGGUAUGGUUGUCCUUUCUGGAAGAGGACCAAAGCAACACCUUCAUGUUACGAGUGACAGUGCAGCCUAUUGUGAACGAUCAGACCAAUAGGAGGUCGGAACGUCUGCCACAGGUGGGGCACAAACAGUCUCUGCGAACAUACGAAUGGGAUGCAAAGCGCAAAGAACACCGACUAGAGCUUUGGAUUCCGUUUCUGCUCCUUUACUGUGUGACCUUGAGCGGUACAACGAGCAUUUAUCAAUCAUUCCAUCUUUAGUUCUACGAUCCCACCAAUAAACUAUUUCCUCCUCUCUACCCCGCUCUUAUGGGGUGUAACAUAAACACACGUAAGUCAGCGUGAACACGGAGGGGGGCGUGGAGUAAAGCAGUAACAGCUGACUCGUGUACAGCGCUCUGAGCUUUGCAAGGCGCUUUACAUGUUACCUCAGGGGGCGCCUGGGCUCUAGAAAGAGGCCAGGGAUUACGGAAGGCGCCCCACGCGAGACCGCGGGGGGCGGGGGUAAGAGACGGCCCUCCGCACGCGGGCAACCCUUAGAAGCCAAUCUGACGCAAAGAGAAAGUUAGCGGGGAAAAACAUAGGACUGGAAAGGGAGGCGGCCCGGUCCAAAAUCGGGCUAGGCGGGGCAGAGGGAGGCAGGUGCGGAGAAGCCCAAGGUUCGCUCAGCUCAAGCCGGGGACGGAAGGCGCACCUCACCCUCACCUCACCUGUAGCCGGGCGGCAGCCCCGGUUACGCGUCGCGUCACCCCAAGGGCAGCCCAGGCAAUGACAGCCGCCAUAGCGGCCCCGGAACCACCGUCUGGCCCCAGCUCCUCAGACCCCUG
This is a long non-coding RNA of Sarcophilus harrisii (Tasmanian devil), 945 nucleotides long. RefSeq lists it as uncharacterized. The transcript has 2 exons. The record is from RefSeq and is a predicted model, not a curated record. NCBI's taxonomy places the organism in Eukaryota, Metazoa, Chordata, Mammalia, Dasyuromorphia, Dasyuridae.